UACGUAGGGGGCAAGCGUUGUCCGGAUUUAUUGGGCGUAAAGAGCGUGUAGGCGGCCAGAUAGGUCCGUUGUGAAAACUGGAGGCUUAACCUCCAGCAGUCGAUGGAAACCAUUUGGCUAGAGUCCGGAAGAGGAGAGUGGAAUUCCUGGUGUAGCGGUGAAAUGCGCAGAUAUCAGGAAGAACACCCGUGGCGAAGGCGGCUCUCUGGGACGGUACUGACGCUGAGACGCGAAAGCGUGGGGAGCGAACAGG
RNAcentral lists this ribosomal RNA (253 nucleotides) under uncultured bacterium. Its description in RNAcentral is "partial 16S ribosomal RNA". It matches the Rfam family "Bacterial small subunit ribosomal RNA", at positions 524 to 776 of the family's 1533-position model. The record is from RNAcentral.